RNAcentral lists this transfer RNA (76 nucleotides) under Syntrophomonadaceae bacterium. RNAcentral's name for it is "tRNA-Val". It matches the Rfam family "tRNA". Rfam says of the family: Transfer RNA (tRNA) molecules are approximately 80 nucleotides in length. Lineage: Bacteria; Bacillati; Bacillota; Clostridia; Eubacteriales; Syntrophomonadaceae. The record is from RNAcentral.
GGGCGAUUAGCUCAGUUGGGAGAGCACCUGCCUUACAAGCAGGGGGUCAGAAGUUCGAGUCUUCUAUCGCCCACCA